RNAcentral lists this ribosomal RNA (1474 nucleotides) under uncultured Bordetella sp. Its description in RNAcentral is "partial 16S-23S ribosomal RNA intergenic spacer". It matches the Rfam family "Bacterial small subunit ribosomal RNA". Lineage: Bacteria; Pseudomonadati; Pseudomonadota; Betaproteobacteria; Burkholderiales; Alcaligenaceae. The record is from RNAcentral.
GGUUUGAUUCUGGCUCAGACGGAGCGCUGGCGGGAUGCUUUACACAUGCAAGUCGAACGGCAGCACGGACUUCGGUCUGGUGGCGAGUGGCGAACGGGUGAGUAAUGUAUCGGAACGUGCCUAGUAGCGGGGAUAACUACGCGAAAGCGUAGUUAAUACUGCACAAUAGCCCUUCGGGGGAAAGCGGGGGACCCUUCGGGCCUCGCACUAUUAGAGCGGCCGAUAUCGGAUUAGCUAGUUGGUGUAACGGCUCACUAAGGCGACGAUCCGUAGCCGGUCGAGAGGACGACCAGCCACACUGGGACCGAGACACGGCCCAGAAUUCUACGGGAGGCAGCAGUGGGGAAUUUUGGACAAUGGGGGAAACCCCGAUCCAGCCAUCCUGGGCGUGUGCGAUGUGAAGGCCUUCGGGUUGUAAAGCACUUUUUGGCAGGGGGAAAGAAACGGCACGGAUAAUACCCCGUGCAACUGACGGUACCUGCAGAAUAAGCACCGGCUAACUACGUGCCAGCAGCCGCGGUAAUACGUAGGUGCAAGCGUUAAUCGGAAUUACUAGCGGAAGCGUGGUGCAGGCGGUUCGGAAAGAAAGAUGUAAACCCAGGAGCUUAACUUUGGAACUGCAUUUUUAACUACCGAGCUAGAGUGUGUCAGAGGGAGGGAAUUCCGCGUGUAGCAGUGAAAUGCGUAGAUAUGCGGAGGAACACCGAUGGCGAAGGCAGCCUCCUGGGAUAACACUGACGCUCAUGCACGAGCGGAGCAAACAGGAUUAGAUACCUGGUAGUCCACGCUCUAAAACGAUGUCAAUCUCAGCUGUUGGGGCCUUUCUACCUUUGUAGCGCAGUUAACGUGAAGUUGACCGCCUGGGGAGUACGGUCGCAAGAUUAAACCUCAAAGGAAUUGACGGGGACCUGCACAAGCGGUGGAUGAUGUGGAUUAAUUCGAUGCAAAUGUGCGAAACUUUACCUACCUUUGACAUGUCUGGAAUCCCGAAGAGAUUUGGGAGUGCUCGCAAGAGAAACCGGAACACAGGUGCUGCAUGGCUGUCGUCAGCUCGUGUCGUGAGAUGUUGGGUUAAGUCCUGCAACGAAGGCGCAACUUUGUCAUUAGUUGUUGCUGAAAGGCACUCUAAUGAGACUGCCGGUGACAAACCGGAGGGCGGGGAUGACGUCGGAGUCCUCAUGGCCCCGGCGGUAGGGCUUCACACGUCAUACAAUGGUCGGGACAGAGGGUCGCCAACCCGCGAGGGGGAGCCAAUCCCAGAACCCGAUCGUAGUCCGGAUCGCAGUCUGCAACUCGACUGCGGAAGUCGGAAUCGCUAGUAAUCGCGGAUCAGCAUGUCGCGGUGAAUACGUUCCCGGGUCUUGUACACACCGCCCGUCACAAUUGCUGGCGGCUUUACCAGAAGUAUAGCCUAACCGUAAGGAGGGCGAUUACCACGGUAGGAUUCAUGACUGGGGAAGUCGUAACAAGGUAA